This 216-nucleotide ribosomal RNA is filed under the name Glomeromycotina sp. Its description in RNAcentral is "partial small subunit ribosomal RNA". The stretch from base 87 to 216 matches the Rfam family "Eukaryotic small subunit ribosomal RNA", at positions 733 to 864 of the family's 1831-position model. The record is from RNAcentral. Lineage: Eukaryota; Fungi; Glomeromycota.
GGGUCAGUAGGUUGGUCGUGCCACCGGUACGUACUGGUCUCACUGAUUCCUCCUUCCUGAAGAACCGUAAUGCCAUUAAUUGGGUGUUGCGGGGAAACAGGACUGUUACUUUGAAAAAAUUAGAGUGUUUAAAGCGAGCUAACGCUUGAAUACAUUAGCAUGGAAUAAUGAAAUAGGACGAUCGAUCCUAUUUUGUUGGUUUCUAGGAUUGACGUA